This 497-nucleotide ribosomal RNA is filed under the name uncultured bacterium. Its description in RNAcentral is "partial 16S ribosomal RNA". It matches the Rfam family "Bacterial small subunit ribosomal RNA", at positions 28 to 507 of the family's 1533-position model. The record is from RNAcentral.
GAUGAACGCUGGCGGCGUGCCUAAUACAUGCAAGUCGAGCGAACAGACGAGGAGCUUGCUCCUCUGACGUUAGCGGCGGACGGGUGAGUAACACGUGGAUAACCUACCUAUAAGACUGGGAUAACUUCGGGAAACCGGAGCUAAUACCGGAUAACAUGUUGAACCGCAUGGUUCAACAGUGAAAGACGGUUUUGCUGUCACUUAUAGAUGGAUCCGCGCCGCAUUAGCUAGUUGGUAAGGUAACGGCUUACCAAGGCAACGAUGCGUAGCCGACCUGAGAGGGUGAUCGGCCACACUGGAACUGAGACACGGUCCAGACUCCUACGGGAGGCAGCAGUAGGGAAUCUUCCGCAAUGGGCGAAAUCCUGACGGAGCAACGCCGCGUGAGUGAAGAAGGUCUUCGGAUCGUAAAACUCUGUUAUUAGGGAAGAACAAAUGUGUAAGUAACUAUGCACGUCUUGACGGUACCUAAUCAGAAAGCCACGGCUAACUACGUG